UUGACCUCGGAUCAGGUAGGAAUACGCGCUGAACUUAAGCAUAUCAAUAAGCGCAGGAAAAGAAACCAACAGGGAUUGCCUCAGUAACGGCGAGUGAAGCGGCAACAGCUCAAAUUUGAAAUCUGGCCUCUCGGGGUCCGAGUUGUAAUUUGUAGAGGAUGUUUUGGGUACCGCCCCGGUCUAAAUUUCUUGGAACAGAAUGUCAAAGAGGGUGAGAAUCCCGUCUUGGACCGGCGGUAGGGCCUGUGUAAAACUCCUUCGACGAGUCGAGUUGUUUGGGAAUGCAGCUCAAAAUGGGUGGUAAAUUUCAUCUAAAGCUAAAUAUUGGCCAGAGACCGAUAGCGCACAAGUAGAGUGAUCGAAAGAUGAAAAGCACUUUGAAAAGAGAGUUAAACAGUAUGUGAAAUUGUUGAAAGGGAAGCGCUUGCAACCAGACUUGAGCGCGGCGGUUCCCCUGGCCUUUUGGCCAGGUUACUCCGUCGUGUCCAGGCCAACAUCGGUUUCGAGGGUCGGUCAAAGGCUCCGGGAAUGUAUCUACCCACGGGUAGACUUAUAGACCGGGGUGUCAUGCGACCUCUCGG
This 581-nucleotide ribosomal RNA is filed under the name salal root associated fungus UBCtra1181C. RNAcentral describes it as "eukaryotic LSU rRNA". It matches the Rfam family "Eukaryotic large subunit ribosomal RNA", at positions 1 to 586 of the family's 3401-position model. The record is from RNAcentral. Lineage: Eukaryota; Fungi; Ascomycota.